AGUUUGAUCCUGGCUCAGGAUGAACGCUGGCGGCGUGCUUAACACAUGCAAGUCGAACGAUGAUCCCCAGCUUGCUGGGGGGAUUAGUGGCGAACGGGUGAGUAACACGUGAGUAACCUGCCCAAGACUCUGGGAUAAGCCUGGGAAACUGGGUCUAAUACUGGAUGCCGACUUUCCGCCGCAUGGUGGGGGGUUGAAAGGCUUUUGUUGGUUUUGGAUGGACUCGCGGCCUAUCAGCUUGUUGGUGGGGUAAUGGCCUACCAAGGCGACGACGGGUAGCCGGCCUGAGAGGGUGACCGGCCACACUGGGACUGAGACACGGCCCAGACUCCUACGGGAGGCAGCAGUGGGGAAUAUUGCACAAUGGGCGAAAGCCUGAUGCAGCGACGCCGCGUGAGGGAUGACGGCCUUCGGGUUGUAAACCUCUUUCAGUAGGGAACAAGGCCAGCACUUGUGUUGGUUGAGGGUACUUGCAGAAGAAGCGCCGGCUAACUACGUGCCAGCAGCCGCGGUAAUACGUAGGGCGCAAGCGUUAUCCGGAAUUAUUGGGCGUAAAGAGCUCGUAGGCGGUUUGUCGCGUCUGCCGUGAAAGUCCGGGGCUCAACCCCGGAUCUGCGGUGGGUACGGGCAGACUAGAGUGAUGUAGGGGAGACUGGAAUUCCUGGUGUAGCGGUGAAAUGCGCAGAUAUCAGGAGGAACACCGAUGGCGAAGGCAGGUCUCUGGGCAUUAACUGACGCUGAGGAGCGAAAGCAUGGGGAGCGAACAGGAUUAGAUACCCUGGUAGUCCAUGCCGUAAACGUUGGGCACUAGGUGUGGGGGACAUUCCACGUUUUCCGCGCCGUAGCU
This 847-nucleotide ribosomal RNA is filed under the name uncultured bacterium. RNAcentral's name for it is "bacterial SSU rRNA". It matches the Rfam family "Bacterial small subunit ribosomal RNA", at positions 10 to 853 of the family's 1533-position model. The record is from RNAcentral.